This 253-nucleotide ribosomal RNA is filed under the name uncultured bacterium. RNAcentral describes it as "partial 16S ribosomal RNA". It matches the Rfam family "Bacterial small subunit ribosomal RNA", at positions 524 to 776 of the family's 1533-position model. The record is from RNAcentral.
UACGAAGGGUGCUAGCGUUACUCGGAAUUACUGGGCGUAAAGCGUGCGUAGGUGGUCUGCUAAGUCUGAUGUGAAAGCCCUGGGCUCAACCUGGGAAUGGCAUUGGAAACUGGCGGGCUAGAGUGCGGUAGAGGGUAGUGGAAUUCCAGGUGUAGCAGUGAAAUGCGUAGAGAUCGGGAGGAACAUUCGUGGCGAAGGCGGCUACCUGGACCAGCACUGACACUGAGGCAAGAAAGCGUGGGGAGCAAACCGG